Non-coding RNA from Heterocephalus glaber (naked mole-rat), 629 nucleotides. NCBI's taxonomy places the organism in Eukaryota, Metazoa, Chordata, Mammalia, Rodentia, Bathyergidae. The record is from RefSeq and is a predicted model, not a curated record.
GGCGCGCGGCACUGCAGCUGAGGACCCCCGCGUUCCCUAGCAACGCCCCAAACCUGCGGAGGCGACUCCUGCACCCGCCGGGCCCACGCUGGGGGUAGGCGAGGGGAGACGCGCCUCGCCGGGCUUCUUCCUGAACAGGGUUUCUCUCCUUCCUCCGUGAAAAAGGAUCCCGAGGUGGAGGUGGGGAAGGAAAUGGUUUAAGUUAAUUUAAACUGUGUCCGCCGCGGGCAGCAAUCCAAGAAAGCCUUUUCUUUUCUUUUUUUUCCCUUGAGUCACGGUGGAGGAACUCAGAAGCUCUUUGCUGCAGCCCAGUGGCCGCCGGCGGAACCUGACGGGGCUCGGAGGCCCGGGCGGGACAGGGCCAGGCCGUGAGCGUGCCCUUUAUCCCCCACAGCCGUGAGUUUGGGGGCAUCUGUCCCCCUUCGCAGGAUGAAGGCUGGUAACCCCAGUGUUAACCUCUGCAGAACUUAGAGGCAACAUCAAGUUAAAAGGAGGAGACCAGCUUCCCUCUCCACAUGCUCCCAGCAUGAUCCACUGCCCUACCACAGUACUGAAAGCAACACAACCAACUAUUCUUGGACUAAAGCCUCCAAAACUAUGAUUUAAAAUAAAGCUUUCCUCCUUUGAAG